Molecule: ribosomal RNA, 1600 nt
Filed under: Skeletonema costatum
Lineage: Eukaryota; Bacillariophyta; Thalassiosirophyceae; Thalassiosirales; Thalassiosiraceae
Description: partial Bacterial large subunit ribosomal RNA
Rfam family: Bacterial large subunit ribosomal RNA
Source: RNAcentral
AAAUGGAUACCUCAACGUUAAAAAUUAAAGAACGUUUGUUAAACGAAAUGUUGUAACGAGUCAAGCUAUUUUAACUUACAACUUUUCUAAAUCGGAAACGAGUUUUGAAAAAUUUAAACAGAUUUUAAUUGUCUUUCAAUUAAAAUUUUUAGAAACUAGUGAACUGAACCAUCUAAGUAACUAGAAAAAAAAAUCAACCGAGAAUCCGUUAGUAGUGGCGAGCAAAAGCGGUAUAGACUAUUUUUAAAAGCUAUAGGUAGUGUGUUUAAGACUUAAUAGCCAAAGAAGGUAGCAUAAAAUUGAAUAUAUGUAGCCCUGUAAAACACACACCAAAAUUUUAAAAUGCAAAGUAAAAUGAUACAAGUCAUGUAUUAUUUCAACAAUGGGGUCCCACCCUCAAAGUCUAAAAAAUUUUAACGAUUGAUAGCGAAUAGUACCGUAAGGGAAAGGUGAAAUAGAAUUUUCGAAUUUGAAAAGAACUUGAAAUUUAAUGUUUAUAAUCAGUUGUAGCUUUAAAAAAGUGACAGCGUUCCUUUUGCAUAAUGAAUCAAUGAGUUUAUAUCAAUGGCAAGCUUAAACGUUUAAAAGUGUAGGCUAAAAAAAAUUGAGUUUUAAAUUGCGCUCUUUUAAAAAUAUUAUUAGUCUUUGAUAUAAGACCCGAAACUAAGUGAUCUAAUCAUGAACAGGCUGAAUUUAAAGCGGUAACGCUUAUUGAAGGGCCGAACUCGUGUAUGUAGAAAAAUACUGAGAUGAUUUGUGAUUAGGGGUGAAAGGCCAAUCAAACUUAGAGAUAGCUGGUUUUCUGCGAAAUCUAUUUAAGUAGAGCGUUUAAAAUUCUUUAUCUAAGGUAGAGCACUCGAUAAAUAAAGGGGACGUAAAGUUUUACUGCAUUUAAUGAAACUCCAAAUAUAGAAUUAAAAAGAUUUUAAACAGACAGACUGUGAGUGCUAAGAUUCAUAGUCAAAAGGGAAACAGCCCGCAUUAUUUGUUAAGGCCCUUAAAAAUAAUUAAGUGAAAAAGAAAGUAAAAAAAUUUUAACAAUCUAUAGGUAGGCUUGGAAGCAGCCACCCUUUUAAGAAAGCGUAACAGCUCACUGGUUUAGUUUUUUUGCAUCAAAAAUGUAUAGGGACUAAAAUUAUUUGCCGAAACAAUAAAUUUAAAACAAUACAAUUAAUAAUAUAAUAUUAAAAAAUUGAUUUUAAAUGGUAGCAGAACGUUUUGUAUAUUUAAGAAAGUUUAUAGUUAUAUAAACUGGAAAAAUCAAAAAUGAAAAUAUUGAUAUGAGUAGCGAAAAACAUUGUGAAUAAUAAACAUUGUCACCUUAAGUUCAAGGUUUUUAAGGGAAGGCUAAUCCUCCUUAAUGUUAAUCGGUCCCUAAGAUAAAAACGAAAGUUGUAGUUGAUGGGUAAUUUUUUUAUUAUAUUUUAACGUGACAAAAUACGAAUUUAAUUUUUAUUUGUGAUUUUAAUUAAAAGUUUUUUAGUAUUUUCAAGAAAUAGCUUAAAAUAAUACCGUACUCUAAACCGACACAGGUGAACAAAUUUAGCAAAUUAAGGUGCUUGAAUUAAUUGUAUUGAAGGAACUCGGCAAAAUGACUCCG